This 513-nucleotide ribosomal RNA is filed under the name uncultured bacterium. RNAcentral describes it as "bacterial SSU rRNA". It matches the Rfam family "Bacterial small subunit ribosomal RNA", at positions 55 to 602 of the family's 1533-position model. The record is from RNAcentral.
AUGCAAGUCGAACGAGAAAGUGGAGCAAUCCAUGAGUAAAGUGGCGACCGGGUGAGUAACACGUNUCACCUACCUCCGAGUGGGGAAUAACUCCGGGAAACCGGGGCUAAUACCGCAUAACAUCGCAAGAUCAAAGCAGCAAUGCGCUUGGAGAGGGGGUCGCGGCUGAUUAUCUCGUUGGCGGGGUAACGGCCCACCAAGGCGAAGAUCGGUAUCCGGCCUGAGAGGGCGCACGGACACACUGGAACUGAAACACGGUCCAGACUCCUACGGGAGGCAGCAGUGGGGAAUUUUGCGCAAUGGGGGAAACCCUGACGCAGCAACGCCGCGUGGAGGAUGAAGCCCUUUGGGGCGUAAACUCCUUUCGACUCGGACGAUAAUGACGGUACGAGUGGAAGAAGCACCGGCUAACUCUGUGCCAGCAGCCGCGGUAAUACAGAGGGUGCGAGCGUUGUUCGGAAUUAUUGGGCGUAAAGGGCGCGUANGCGGUGCGGUAAGUCACCUGUGAAAUCU